Molecule: ribosomal RNA, 266 nt
Filed under: uncultured bacterium
Lineage: Bacteria
Description: partial 16S ribosomal RNA
Rfam family: Bacterial small subunit ribosomal RNA
Source: RNAcentral
GUCCACGCCGUAAACGAUGAGUGCUAGGUGCUGUGGGUAUUGACCCCUGCGGUGCCGCAGCUAACGCGUUAAGCACUCCGCCUGGGGAGUACGGCCGCAAGGCUAAAACUCAAAGGAAUUGACGGGGGCCCCGCACAAGCGGUGGAGCAUGUGGUUCAAUUCGACGCAACGCGCAGAACCUUACCUGGGUUAAAUCCACUCGAACUUGACAGAGAUGUCUUGGUGCCCUUCGGGGAGCGAGUGAGAAGGUGCUGCAUGGCUGUCGU